GGAAAGCUCCGCGCUGCGCUGCGGCCUCCCGGGGACCAAGAACAGACCCCGCCCCACUGGCGAUUCGCUGCUCCCCGGCGCUGCUUCCGCCACCCUAUGAAGGGCCACUCGCCGUCCGUGUUGCCUCUGUCUCUUCGGAAACAUUUCCACGACAAACAACCCCCCGCCCUCAAGGCGCCGCUCGGACCUCGGGCUCCUGCAAGACCAAGGGGAUCAUGGUAGAGUCUCCCCGAGCGCAGUAGAACAGCACCCCCGUGUGGCCCUGUCCUCCGGAACCCGCGGAAUGGCCGGAUUCGUGGGCUGCAGCAGAGACCCGCCAGACCUAUGCUAAGAGACACUGAAGACCAGAGCUGCCAUGCAAGAACUUUAACUGCCCUGAGGCCACCAUGAUUAGAGGAAGCCCAAACCAGCCCACACGGAGAGACCACGUGGAGAAGCCCUGUGACUACAAGGAGAGAGAGAGAGCUGCCCACACACCCCCAGCUGGUACCUCAACUGGGACACCCCACUGUCCCAGCUUCAGCCACCAGCUAAUUACAUCCAUAUGGGAUCCCAAGGCAGAACUGCCCAGCUGGACUCUUCCCCAAAAUCUGACCACAGACAUGGAAGAAGGUUACUGCUUUACUACCCAUCAGGAGGAAGGAAGAAUUUCUUCUUGCCCAGCAACGGUCCAGCCACUGAAAGGCUGUUACAAAUCAGCCAAAGAAAAGCAAUUAAACUUCAAGUUCCCAGUUUCUUCCACUGGACUCUUUAUAACAUCCCCUCCCAACUCUCCCUUCUCCUCUAUAAAAGAAUGUCCCUCUCCUUUGUUCUCCCCACUUGCUUGUGCCUUACCGUAGAAUCCAUGUCCCAAAUUGUAAUUCUCUGCUAUUC
This is a long non-coding RNA of Balaenoptera musculus (blue whale), 873 nucleotides long. RefSeq lists it as uncharacterized. The record is from RefSeq and is a predicted model, not a curated record. Lineage: Eukaryota; Metazoa; Chordata; Mammalia; Artiodactyla; Balaenopteridae. The transcript has 3 exons.